GGAAAAAAUGAUGUAAAUUUUGCCCCUGCUAAGGGAGUAUGGGGUGUAGAGCCUCAUCGAGGGUUCGAAUCCCUCCGUUUCCGCCA
RNAcentral lists this transfer RNA (86 nucleotides) under Rhodoferax sp. Its description in RNAcentral is "tRNA-Ser". The record is from RNAcentral. Lineage: Bacteria; Pseudomonadati; Pseudomonadota; Betaproteobacteria; Burkholderiales; Comamonadaceae.